RNAcentral lists this ribosomal RNA (468 nucleotides) under uncultured bacterium. Its description in RNAcentral is "partial 16S ribosomal RNA". It matches the Rfam family "Bacterial small subunit ribosomal RNA", at positions 28 to 507 of the family's 1533-position model. The record is from RNAcentral.
GACGAACGCUGGCGGCGUGCUUAACACAUGCAAGUCGAACGGAAAGGCCCUGCUUUUGUGGGGUGCUCGAGUGGCGAACGGGUGAGUAACACGUGAGUAACCUGCCCUUGACUUUGGGAUAACUUCAGGAAACUGGGUCUAAUACCGGAUAGGAGCUCCUGCUGCAUGGUGGGGGUUGGAAAGUUUCGGCGGUUGGGGAUUGACUCGCGGCUUAUCAGCUUGUUGGUUGGGUAGUGGCUUACCAAGGCUUUGACGGGUAGCCGGCCUGAGAGGGUGACCGGCGACAUUGGGACUGAGAUACGGCCCAGACUACAACGGGAGGCAGCAGUGGGGAAGAUUGCACAAUGGGCGGAAGCCUGAUGCAGCAACGCGGCGUGCGGGAUGACGGCCUUCGGGUUGUAAACCGCUUUAGCCUGUGACGAAGCGUGAGUGACGGUAAUGGGUAAAGAAGCACCGGCUAACUACGUG